GACGAACGCUGGCGGCGUGCUUAACACAUGCAAUUCGAACGGAAAGGCCUGCUUUCCCUUGUGGUUUUCGGGUACUCUAGUGGCGAACGGGUGCUUAACACGUUAGUGAUCUGCCCCCAACUUGGGUAUAAGCCUGGGAUACUGGGUCUAAUUCCCGAUAGGCCUGCAGGGUGGUGCCUGUCUUGGAAUUCGAUUUUCUAGUGUUUGGGGAUGAGCUCGCGGCCUAUCAGCUUGUUGGUGGGGUAAUGGCCUACCAAGGCGUCGACGGGUAGCCGGCCUGGGAGGGUGGACGGCCACAUUGGGACAGAGAUACGGCCCAGACUCCUACGGGAGGCAGCAGUGGGGAAAAUAGCACGAUGGGAGGAAGCAUGAAGCAGCGACGCCGCGUGGGGGAUGACGGGCGUCGGGGUGUAAACUCAUGUCGAACGCGAGGAAGCGACAGGGUUGGAAGGGUGGUGACGGUAGUGGUAGAAGAAGCACCGGCUAACUAAGUG
Molecule: ribosomal RNA, 494 nt
Filed under: uncultured bacterium
Lineage: Bacteria
Description: partial 16S ribosomal RNA
Rfam family: Bacterial small subunit ribosomal RNA
Source: RNAcentral